GUCUGUCCAGGGGACGGGGACAGAAAAAAGUCUUUGACUUGGAUCUCCACGUGAGGAAAUGGCCACUACUCCCUAAAGUGAAGGAAAAGAAACACAGGGAGGAGCCAGAGGGGCUCAGAUGCAGGGCCCAGGGAGCGGUCAGACUACACGUGUCUCCAUUAGCAGAGCAUUAUUUUGCAAGAGAAGCGUGUUCCUUUUCUCAAUAGGAAGGAAGAAAUAAAUGAAGGCACCAGCCAGGCCGGAGAAACUUGCAAGUCGCUGUGACUGCUUCGGAUCCAGCACACCCCACCCACCUCGGGCUGUGGACGCCACCUGCAGCAGCCCGGGGAAGACGGAGGAAGAGGCGCUGGCUGCGGAGCAGGUCCUUGGCAAAGAGCGGAAGGUGACGGGGCGCAGGGAGCGCCUGCUCUUAGGAUCCUGCCUCUCAGCUGAGGAGGGAGCAAUUCAAGUUUUAAUAAUCUCAGGCAUAUGAAUGAUGCAAACUUGCAACAGCGUUUGAAAGUGCACUUAUUUAAACUUCUUUUUCCUCUAAAUAGCUUUGCGACUGUCGACCGGUAAAUUUUCCUUUUUAUUUCAUCACAUUCAUCGUUUGCCCUCUUGCCAGCAGGGACCCCACAAUGGCGACAAAUGGGUUCUCCGGGGCAAAUGGCAAAAGAGAGGAAGUUUCCCGUCGGACUUUCCCAAGCCCCCCUCUCCCCGCCCCUUCUUGCACCUGGACCUUCUGAGGCUGUCGCACCCCUCCCCUGGGCGGGGCCGGCACUAGGGAUACUGGAUUUCUCCUACUCUUCCCGCCCCUGGAUUCUUUCAGCCCUCACCCCCUCCCAGGAAAGAGGAAGAGAAGCAGCGGUGACGAGGACAGGCGGUGGUUGCCUACCCAGGAAUCCGAGCCCCCCGGUACAUAGCUGUAUAUUCUUCUCUGUGGGUCCUUCUAGUUGUGGCAUGUGGGACGCUGCCUCAGCGUGGUCUGAUGAGCAGUGCCAUGUCCUCGCCCAGGAUUCGAGCCAACGAAACACUGGGCCGCCUGCAGCGGAGUGCGCGAACUUAACCACUCGGCCACGGGGCCAGACCCCGGUCACACUUUUGUAAGAGACUUGAAGAGCGUGGUCUACGGCUUGUGCUGCGCCGCAGGGGUGUAGACCCAGAGUGCAAGCACAGGCGAAGAUCAGACACUCAUUUCACACUUCUGAUAGAAAAAUGAAGAAUUCAGAACCUGACUGUAAGCUCAAGACAAGAUGCAACAAAAGGAAUAAAAACUCAAAGAUCUUGGAAAAGAAUUCCAGCAACAUCAAACCAAGGAGCACGGACUUGCAGGUUGCUCAUAAAUUCCAGGACCUCUACCGCAUCCACAGGCAGGUGGAGGGCCGUCCCCAUCACCAGCUCUACCAGUGGCACCUCUACCGGCAGGAAUUGGUCCUUCUCCUCCUCCAACUCCUUUACCUCGACUAAGUGAUAUACCACAUCCACCACUAUCACCUUUGUUUGGGGACCUCCUACAAGGAUUACUUCCUGCUCUAACUUAAGAAAUAAAUGUAUAAACCUGAACUCCAUGUAUUGAUUCUUGAACUGCAUGACUUGAUUCUCCAUGAAGAGAAUCAAAUGGUCAAAGGCAAAAUUUUGACUAGAGGUUUUUGGCACCUUCUAGCCCCCAAUAGUCAUUAAUAUGCAAAUAACUGCAUAGCUGUGCACAAGUAUGGUAUAAUAUUACAGAAUACGACCGCUGACUCUUGCUUUCCUUUGUGAACUCACCAUCUUAUGUUUCUCUUUCAGUUCAGUAUCUCAGUAAUUGGAAACUCCAUAGACAAUAUCAAAUUUAUGUAGACGGCAAAGGAGAAUUAAAGUGGUGUAAAGAUAAUUGUGUUAGUUUCCUAAGGCUGCCAUAACGAUUCCCACAAGCUGGGUGGUUUAUAAAAAACAGAAAUUUCUCUCUCACAGUUGUGGAGGGCAGAAGUCCACAAUAACAGUGUAGGUAGUGCCACACUCCCUGAAGGCUCUAGGGGACAAUCUCUUUCUUGCCUUUUCCAGCUUCCAGCAUUUUUGGCAUUCCUUGGUUCAUGGAAUAUCUCUGUUCUGUCUUCACACUGCCUUCUCCCAGUGUCUGUGUAUAAACUUCCCUCUUCCAGGAGUGAAUACAUGUGGUUGCAUUUAUGACCCACCGAACUGACUAUUACAUGUUGAUCUUUUACUCUGCACCAUUAUUACAUUUGUUUAUUAGUGCUAGUAUCUUUUUGAGGAUUCUUUGGCAUACUAGAUGUAUUAGUAUCAUGUCAUCUGCAAAAAGAUUUUCCAAUUUGAAUGCCUUUUAUUUCAUGUUCUGGCCUAUCUGCUAUGGCUACAACUUCCAGUAAAAUCUUGAACUGACGAUAACUGACAUCCUUGUCUUCUUCCUGAUUUUAACGGGAAAGACUUCAGUCUUUCAGCACUGAGUAUGACAUUAGCUGUGGGUUUUUCACAUGUGCCCUUUAUUAUGUUGAAGAAGUUCCUUUCUAUUCCUUUUCUAUUGAG
This 2502-nucleotide long non-coding RNA is filed under the name Equus caballus (horse). RNAcentral describes it as "lncRNA (ENSECAG00000027830.3)". The record is from RNAcentral. Lineage: Eukaryota; Metazoa; Chordata; Mammalia; Perissodactyla; Equidae.